GACGAACGCUGGCGGCGUGCUUAACACAUGCAAGUCGAACGGAAAGGCCCUGCUUGCAGGGUACUCGAGUGGCGAACGGGUGAGUAACACGUGGGUGAUCUGCCCUGCACUUCGGGAUAAGCCUGGGAAACUGGGUCUAAUACCGGAUAGGAGCCAUUUUUAGUGUGAUGGUUGGAAAGUUUUUUCGGUGUAGGAUGAGCUCGCGGCCUAUCAGCUUGUUGGUGGGGUAAUGGCCUACCAAGGCGGCGACGGGUAGCCGGCCUGAGAGGGUGGACGGCCACAUUGGGACUGAGAUACGGCCCAGACUCCUACGGGAGGCAGCAGUGGGGAAUAUUGCACAAUGGGCGCAAGCCUGAUGCAGCGACGCCGCGGGGGGGAUGACGGCCUUCGGGUUGUAAUCUCCUUUCGCUAGGGACGAAGCUUUUUGUGACGGUACCUAGAUAAGAAGCACCGGCUAACUACGUG
RNAcentral lists this ribosomal RNA (465 nucleotides) under uncultured bacterium. RNAcentral's name for it is "partial 16S ribosomal RNA". It matches the Rfam family "Bacterial small subunit ribosomal RNA", at positions 28 to 507 of the family's 1533-position model. The record is from RNAcentral.